GAUGAACGCUGGCGGCGUGCUUAACACAUGCCAGUCGAACGAAGCACUUUAUUUGAUUUCCUUCGGGACUGAUUAUUUUGUGACUGAGUGGCGGACGGGUGAGUAACGCGUGGGUAACCUGCCUUGUACAGGGGGAUAACAGUUGGAAACGGCUGCUAAUACCGCAUAAGCGCACAGCAUCGCAUGAUGCAGUGUGAAAAACUCCGGUGGUAUAAGAUGGACCCGCGUUGGAUUAGCUAGUUGGUGAGGUAACGGCCCACCAAGGCGACGAUCCAUAGCCGAACUGAGAGGGUGACCGGCCACAUUGGGACUGAGACACGGCCCGAACUCCUACGGGAGGCAGCAGUGGGGAAUAUUGCACAAUGGGCGAAAGCCUGAUGCAGCGACGCCGCGUGAGCGAAGAAGUAUUUCGGUAUGUAAAGCUCUAUCAGCAGGGAAGAUAAUGACGGUACCUGACUAAGAAGCACCGGCUAAAUACGUG
This 481-nucleotide ribosomal RNA is filed under the name uncultured bacterium. RNAcentral describes it as "partial 16S ribosomal RNA". It matches the Rfam family "Bacterial small subunit ribosomal RNA", at positions 28 to 507 of the family's 1533-position model. The record is from RNAcentral.